UCCUUGAUGGCUCAGUUGGUAAAGAGUCCUGCCUGCAAUGCAGGAGACCCAUGUUCAAUCCCUGGGUGGGGAA
RNAcentral lists this transfer RNA (73 nucleotides) under Bos taurus (domestic cattle). It matches the Rfam family "tRNA". Rfam says of the family: Transfer RNA (tRNA) molecules are approximately 80 nucleotides in length. Their secondary structure includes four short double-helical elements and three loops (D, anti-codon, and T loops). The record is from Rfam by way of RNAcentral. Lineage: Eukaryota; Metazoa; Chordata; Mammalia; Artiodactyla; Bovidae. RNAcentral also lists the same sequence under 3 other names.